Long non-coding RNA from Zophobas morio, 397 nucleotides. RefSeq lists it as uncharacterized. The transcript has 2 exons. NCBI's taxonomy places the organism in Eukaryota, Metazoa, Arthropoda, Insecta, Coleoptera, Tenebrionidae. The record is from RefSeq and is a predicted model, not a curated record.
UUAUAAUAUUUUGUAUUUUAGAAGAAAAUGCCUAAAUUUUGUGCUGUUGUGGGUUGCGCAAAUCGAAGCACCAGAAAUGCGGACAAAUUUUAUAUUCCUUUCGCAGCAAUUAGCAACAAUAAUGGUAAAUAUAUACAGGAUGGGGAAAAAGGCGGAAGCUUUGGUUAAAAGCCUUGAAACGAGUGGAUUUAACGAAGCCAAAGUAAAGUAUUCCUAUGUUUGUUCGGAUCAUUUUAUUUUAGGUAAACCUGCAGAUUUGUCGGAUGUGGACCAUCCUGAUUAUGUUCCAUCACAAAAUUUAGGAUAUCAAAAUAAAUCCACUCAUAAUACUUGUAAUGUUGAAAGACACAGUUGUUUAAAAAAGAGAAAAUUGAAUAAAUGUCUCUAGACUUUUGAA